RNAcentral lists this long non-coding RNA (1236 nucleotides) under Haliotis rubra (blacklip abalone). Its description in RNAcentral is "uncharacterized LOC124253326, transcript variant X2". The record is from RNAcentral. Lineage: Eukaryota; Metazoa; Mollusca; Gastropoda; Lepetellida; Haliotidae.
CCGUGCACGGCUAUGCCUCUCAACGUCUGUGUCUGUUAUUCUGUGUACUGCGCCAGGCAAAUCGACUGUUUUCACGGUUAAAAUCUACUUCUUAGAGGUAUUGUCCAGCCAGGCCAUCACACCACUGAUUGUCCACUCUCCGGGCCAGUCUCAAAGCCAGUCGUCAACCCAUUCAGCCUUUGCCGACUUGUGUACGCCUCUGACAAGUCUGUAGCUAUGGCUGCACCCGAAAACGGGUAUCGCUGGAAGCAGUUCAGCCUGCCCAACAGAAUCAAGAUACAGUACCUCAUCUUCUGGCAUGUGCAGAUCGCCUGCAUGAGAAGCAUCAAUGUAGCAGAUACUGCGAUAUCAUCUUCAGGUUACUUGGUUCCCUUGGAAACGUUCUCGUCAUCACAGCGUUUGUAUUUCUGUUUAAUGAUGACAAUUUCAAGAUAUCUGAUAAUCUAGCUAUUGGUGGUGCAGCUCUAUCCCUCCUGGCAAAUAUUGGAAAAUUACUAACCGAACGCAACCGGAGGAACGACAACAGGAGGUGCAUCAAGAAUGACGUCCUCCCAGUGGUUCCUGUCCGAAGAGUUGCUCUUGAUGAAAUCACACUCAUGGCAUUGCAAUCUGAAGAGUCGGCAUUGUCGUUUUUGACGACGUACUGCAGAUGCGACUGUUGUCGUCCUGUGUGCUGCUUGUGUUGUUGUCAAGAGCCUUGUCUCAGGGAUGACCCGCUGGAGCCUCUGUGUACGAUGGAUCCCUGUAGGUGUCUUUGCUGCCAAUGCACAUGUGCACCCUGCCCAAGUUGCUGUCAGUAUUUGUGUUCCUGUCUCGCCUUCCAACCAACGUUUGAAUUCAUGGAGAGUACAUACAACAUCGUGUCUUCCGGGUGGGUGUUAUGCAGCAAUGUUAGAGCUAUAAGUGAUCGGGUUCAAAAUAAGAAAUCACCCACAUCCUUCGAGCAGCUGAGUUUGGGGAACAAAGUCUUAGAAAGUAUUGAUGUCUCAUUUGCCAUCUUUUCUCUUCUAUUAUCUCUUGCCAUUGUCGUUUGGACUUGUUGUAAGUGCUGUAGAGGAACAAACGAGCGUCCUGUUGUGCAGAUCAGACAUUUGUCAACAGAACUUAUGCGAUGAUUAUGUAAAUAUCCGUUCCUUUUAACAGAACUGUUUAUACCUGCCUGCAGACCCUGUGGAGGUACAUUACAGAGAUCAGUAGAUGAGAACUUAUUACUAAGCACCUGUUAUUAUGAAUACA